This 468-nucleotide ribosomal RNA is filed under the name uncultured bacterium. RNAcentral's name for it is "partial 16S ribosomal RNA". It matches the Rfam family "Bacterial small subunit ribosomal RNA", at positions 28 to 507 of the family's 1533-position model. The record is from RNAcentral.
GACGAACGCUGGCGGCGUGCUUAAUACAUGCAAGUCGAACGGAAAGGUCCUGCUUUUGUGGGGUGCUCGAGUGGCGAACGGGUGAGUAACACGUGAGUAACCUGCCCUUGUCUUUGGGAUAACUUCAGGAAACUGGGGCUAAUAUCGGAUAGGAGCUCCUGCUGCAUGGUGGGGGUUGGAAAGUUUCGGCGGUUGGGGAUGGACUCGCGGCUUAUCAGCUUGUUGGUGGGGUAGUGGCUUACCAAGGCUUUGACGGGUAGCCGGCCUGAGAGGGGGACCGGCGACAUUGGGACUGAGAGACGGCCCAGACUCCUACGGGAGGCAGCAGUGGGAAAUAUUGCACAAUGGGCGGAAGCCUGAUGCAGCAACGCCGCGUGCGGGAUGACGGCCUUCGGGUUGUAAACCGCUUUCGCCUGUGACGAAGCGUGAGUGACGGUAAUGAGUAAAGAAGCACCGGCUAACUACGUG